This is a long non-coding RNA of Diachasma alloeum, 534 nucleotides long. RefSeq lists it as uncharacterized. The transcript is spliced from 3 exons. The record is from RefSeq and is a predicted model, not a curated record. NCBI's taxonomy places the organism in Eukaryota, Metazoa, Arthropoda, Insecta, Hymenoptera, Braconidae.
UUGAGAAACGGAAAGUGGUAAAAAAACAAGAGCCUUUAAUAAUGAAGUUCUUUGCUGUUUUUCUAUUCGCAAUACUGCUAGCAGUGUCUACAACUGCGCAGCAGUGUAGAGAUGUCGGAAGAUGGUGCACAAGGAGUGAACAAUGCUGUACAUCCUAUUGCCGUAACAAUCGUUGUCUCCGUUGGGGAACAAUUCCAUCCGAACGAGGCCGUACUAACCCCUGCUCCAUCGUGAGAUGCGCACGUGGACCGUGCGUAGUUCAGCAGGUUCGAUGCCCCAACAGACCAGAGUGCCCUGGAGUCGCGCGGUGUACUAUCCGUGCGUCGUAAUACACUUCAACUUAACUUUAUGUAGUAACUUCAUGAAGUAACGCUUGAGAAUGAGAAAAUACUUGGAAAUGAAUCGUAGAAUUCUAUGUGAAAUGCAUUAGAGGGUUAUCGUAUGGUGGAAAUAAUUGGAAGAUUAAAUAAUUCAGUAGCGAAGGGGUAAAAGGAAAUACGUCAAUUUUGACUAUUGAGCAGUUUUCAAUCAAUA